Molecule: ribosomal RNA, 253 nt
Filed under: uncultured bacterium
Lineage: Bacteria
Description: partial 16S ribosomal RNA
Rfam family: Bacterial small subunit ribosomal RNA
Source: RNAcentral
UACGUAGGGUGCAAGCGUUGUCCGGAAUUAUUGGGCGUAAAGAGCUCGUAGGCGGUCUGUCGCGUCGGAUGUGAAAACCCAGGGCUCAACCCUAGGCCUGCAUUCGAUACGGGCAGACUAGAGUUCGGUAGGGGAGACUGGAAUUCCUGGUGUAGCGGUGAAAUGCGCAGAUAUCAGGAGGAACACCGGUGGCGAAGGCGGGUCUCUGGGCCGAAACUGACGCUGAGGAGCGAAAGCGUGGGGAGCAAACAGG